GAUGAACGCUGGCGGCGUGCCUAAUACAUGCAAGUCGAGCGAACGGACGAGAAGCUUGCUUUUCUGAUGUUAGCGGCUGACGGGUGAGUAACACGUGGAUAACCUACCUAUAAGACUGGGAUAACUUCGGGAAACCGGAGCUACUACCGGAUAAUAUUUUGAACCGCAUGGUUCAAAAGUGAAAGACGGUCUUGCUGUCACUUAUAGAUGGAUCCGCGCUGCAUUAGCUAGUUGGUAAGGUAACGGCUUACCAAGGCAACGAUGCAUAGCCGACCUGAGAGGGUGAUCGGCCACACUGGAACUGAGACACGGUCCAGACUCCUAAGGGAGGCAGCAGUAGGGAAUCUUCCGCAAUGGGCGAAAGCCUGACGGAGCAACGCCGCGUGAGUGAUGAAGGUCUUCGGAUCGUAAAACUCUGUUAUUAGGGAAGAACAUAUGUGUAAGUAACUGUGCACAUCUUGACGGUACCUAAUCAGAAAGCCACGGCUAACUACGUG
Molecule: ribosomal RNA, 497 nt
Filed under: uncultured bacterium
Lineage: Bacteria
Description: partial 16S ribosomal RNA
Rfam family: Bacterial small subunit ribosomal RNA
Source: RNAcentral